RNAcentral lists this ribosomal RNA (464 nucleotides) under Vreelandella stevensii. RNAcentral describes it as "partial 16S ribosomal RNA". It matches the Rfam family "Bacterial small subunit ribosomal RNA", at positions 338 to 795 of the family's 1533-position model. The record is from RNAcentral. Lineage: Bacteria; Pseudomonadati; Pseudomonadota; Gammaproteobacteria; Oceanospirillales; Halomonadaceae.
CCUACGGGAGGCAGCAGUGGGGAAUAUUGGACAAUGGGGGCAACCCUGAUCCAGCCAUGCCGCGUGUGUGAAGAAGGCCCGCGGGUUGUAAAGCACUUUCAGUGAGGAAGAACGCCUGGUGGUUAAUACCCAUCAGGAAAGACAUCACUCACAGAAGAAGCACCGGCUAACUCCGUCCAGCAGCCGCGGUAAUACGGAGGGUGCGAGCGUUAAUCGGAAUUACUGGGCGUAAAGCGCGCGUAGGUGGCUUGAUAAGCCGGUUGUGAAAGCCCCGGGCUCAACCUGGGAACGGCAUCCGGAACUGUCAAGCCAGAGUGCAGGAGAGGAAGGUAGAAUUCCCGGUGUAGCGGUGAAAUGCGUAGAGAUCGGGAGGAAUACCAGUGGCGAAGGCGGCCUUCUGGACUGACACUGACACUGAGGUGCGAAAGCGUGGGUAGCAAACAGGAUUAGAUACCCUAGUAGUC